Molecule: ribosomal RNA, 301 nt
Filed under: uncultured bacterium
Lineage: Bacteria
Description: partial 16S ribosomal RNA
Rfam family: Bacterial small subunit ribosomal RNA
Source: RNAcentral
CAGUAGCCGCGGUAAAACGGAGGGGGCUAGCGUUGUUCGGAAUUACUGGGCGUAAAGCGUACGUAGGCGGUUUUGUAAGUUAGAGGUGAAAGCCCGGAGCUCAACUCCGGAAUUGCCUUUAAGACUGCAUCACUUGAACGUCGGAGAGGUGAGUGGAAUUCCGAGUGUAGAGGUGAAAUUCGUAGAUAUUCGGAAGAACACCAGUGGCGAAGGCGGCUCACUGGACGACUGUUGACGCUGAGGUACGAAAGCGUGGGGAGCAAACAGGAUUAGAUACCCCCGUAGUCCCUGUCUCUUAUAC